Salvelinus sp. IW2-2015 is the source of this 627-nucleotide non-coding RNA. The record is from RefSeq and is a predicted model, not a curated record. Lineage: Eukaryota; Metazoa; Chordata; Actinopteri; Salmoniformes; Salmonidae.
CGGGCCUUCUCACUUUGUGGCAACUAGUGAAGACCCCACGGAAGGGCCUAUGCGAACGGAAGAAGGAAUGGGGAUGAUCUACUGCCGGAAGACUGAGCCCUGUUUGGUGUGUGUUGGUCUGCCAUUGUUCAUGAUGCUGGAGCCUUGCAGGACAGAGGGAGUCUGGACAUUUUCCUUUUCAUGCAUUCAUUAAAGGUGACAUAAACAUAACAUUCUGAGUAUUGUGUGUGCCCCAUCAGUAGGGAGCCUUAUAUUGAGAGUAYAUCUAUUGAAAUGUCUUCAAAGGGAUAUUUUACCCAAAUUACACAUUGGGUUCCUUACCCUGUAAGCAGUCUAUGGACAAGGUAUGACUGCAAUCCAUGCAUUGGUUUAGUUUCCUUGGCACUGUUUCCACAUGCUAAUAUUUUAUCAUUUGUAGCACAAAACCCAUUCAAUUCACUGAUUAUUUGAACAUGAUGUGUGAUAAAUGUUUAUCAGUCCUAUGUCAUUGUAUUUGUGUCACAAAUGCUAAAACGUUGGCAUGUGGGAACAGUGCCAGGAAAACAACUAAGAUAAAGUAUAGAUUGCUGUCAUACCUUGUCCAUAGGUUGUAAGGAAACCAAUAAAUAAUUUCAUAAUUUGGGUUAA